AAUUUGUCUAAAUAAAAUUUUCAAAAUUGAAAAUAAGUAAUAGAAUAACAAAAAAAGAAUUAAAAAAAUUAUAUUGAGAAAAAGAAAAAAAUGCAGUGAGCCAGAAAAAAGAGUUGUGUUAAAAAAGUAAAUUGAGUUAUUAAAUUAUUUAAACUAAUGAAAUUGAUGUAAAGAAUGUUUUUACUAAUAAAAUUGAAUGAUGAAUUAAAUUAUAACAUAUUACUAAAAUAAAUGAAAAU
Molecule: long non-coding RNA, 239 nt
Filed under: Lathyrus oleraceus (garden pea)
Lineage: Eukaryota; Viridiplantae; Streptophyta; Magnoliopsida; Fabales; Fabaceae
Description: Pisum sativum (pea) long non-coding RNA (PSAT_LNC024219)
Source: RNAcentral